GAUGAAGAACGCAGCGAAAUGCGAAAAGUAGUGUGAAUUGCAGAAUUCAGUGAAUCAUCGAAUCUUUGAACACACAUUGCGCCCCUUGGUAUUCCAUGGGGCAUGCCUGUUCGAGCGUCAUUUGUACCUUCAAGCUUUGCUUGGUGUUGGGUGUUUGUCUCGCCUUUGCGUGUAGACUCGCCUUAAAAUAAUUGGCAGCCGGCGUAUUGAUUUCGGAGCGCAGUACAUCUCGCGCUUUGCACUCAUAACGACAGCGUCCAAAAGUACAUUUUACACUCUUGACCUCGGAUCAGGUAGGGAUACCCGCUGAACUUAAGCAUAUCAAUAAGCGGAGGA
This 336-nucleotide unclassified non-coding RNA is filed under the name soil metagenome. RNAcentral describes it as "partial contains 5.8S ribosomal RNA, internal transcribed spacer 2, and large subunit ribosomal RNA". The stretch from base 1 to 120 matches the Rfam family "5.8S ribosomal RNA", at positions 35 to 154 of the family's 154-position model. The record is from RNAcentral.